Rhododendron vialii is the source of this 1864-nucleotide long non-coding RNA. RefSeq lists it as uncharacterized. The transcript has 2 exons. The record is from RefSeq and is a predicted model, not a curated record. NCBI's taxonomy places the organism in Eukaryota, Viridiplantae, Streptophyta, Magnoliopsida, Ericales, Ericaceae.
GAAAUUACCAACCAAAAAAUAGCCCCACUUUUUUGGAGCUCACAGGAUGAACUCAUCUCCCUUCGGUCUUCAUCCAGGCAAAGCCGGAUUUGGGCCCAAAGAAUAUGGACUGCUCUUGACUCUCGAGCAAGGCAUAACUCAUUCGGCCUAAUCCCUCUGAUUUUUUUUUGACCUUUUCACCCCUCCUCAUCCGCCUUCUUCUCCUCCCCUCUUCCCUGUUCGACGAGAGAGGUUCUAUGGGAUUUCUGGUGUGGAUCGAUUUCUGGUUUAAGUUUUCUGCGCACGUAACCUCAGGCAUGGGAGUUUUGGAUCAAUUUCUAGUUUUUGGUUCCAAUUUAUGGCUUAUAAAUUUUACGGUUUUGAUUUGGGCAAAGAUUAUAUAUAUGAACUGAUUUCGACUGUAUAUAUGGACUGGUUUUGAUUUCUGAGUUAUUAGGGUUUCGAUUUUGACCUCAUCUCUUUCCAUUACUGUGUGUGUGUGUUGGCUGCAGAUACAUUGAGUUGGUAGCUGUAAGUGUGUGCAAGUGUAGAUGUUAACUGGCCUAUCAAAAAAAGAAAAGAAAAGUGUAGAUGUUAACUGCGAGCUGGUGUGAGUGUGUACUUCGUGUUUGAACAAAACCCUAGAUUAGUGGUGGUCUCUAUGGAAGAUAUGGUUAAGUAAUUGGGUAUCUUAUUUCAAUAUAUGAUAGGAUAUAGGUGAUUCUGUAUUGCUAAUAGGGCGGUAAUGAAACAAUUAAAAUGUUAACGAAGGUAGUGCCUUGGCGGGGUACAUACGUAAGAUUAGUUACAGUCAUGAGUACCAUUAUGGUUUCCUCAAAAUUAUUUGAGCCCAUCUAUCCACUCACACUUAUAGCUAGCACACCCAGUUAUCAGCUAAAGCUAUGUUUCGAUGCACACUUGCCAGAAUUUAAAGUGCUGUUAAUGCUGAAGAUUCAAAGGAAGAUCAUAGAAAUAUAAACUCCUUCGAUACUCUGAUAUCCUUUGCAAUAAUUUCCUUCGGUAUGCUCUUGUACCUGCAAUCAUUUUUUUUUUACUUGUUUCCGUACUCGGUAGACAAUGAGAAAAACUAAAAAGUUAGAAGUGCGUAAUUAUUUCUAAAUGAAAAUUGCAAUAUCCACUACACAAUUAAACUACUCAUUUAAGAAUUUUACAUCAUCUCUGUCAUAGAAGUCCAGUUUAUUUGCCAUGGUGUAGGCAAGAUCUGGCAGUAACAACCAAGUACGGUGAUUUGCAUCAGAAGCCACUCUGUGAACGGUUCAUGCUACUCAAAAAGAUGAUGACAUGCCUCCAAUUGAAGCCGUUCUUCCACCUUUGGAGGCUGAACUUAAGCUUGCUUGGCUAGAGAUUACGAAGUUGCAGGAUGAUAACAAGGCAUUAGAUCGUCACCAAGUCAAAAGAAGCUGCUUUGCUUGAAGCAGAGAGGACCGUUCAGGUUGCCUUACCAAAGGCUCCCUUGCUGAAUGAUCUGCAGAAUAAUAACCAAGAGUUGAUGAAGCAGAUAGACAUUUGCCAGGUAAAGCCGUCGAUCCCUUGGAAAGAUGCAAUAUACCUGGUAGAUGUAUCAUGCAAUUUACUUGUUUUGGAUUCCUCAUUGUUUUGUGUAAGAUCUCAUCAUAGACUAAACCAUUCCGCUAAAUGUGUAUACUUACAUGAAGAAAGGCCUAACUUUCAAACUUAAUUUGAUGAUAACAAGCUAGAUCGGAAUGGAAUGUCAACUUACACUUAUUUCAAGUUCCCUAGGCUACUGUUGCAGUUCGCAUCAAGUCUUGUGACUUGUUCGUAUGAAUUUUGUAGGAUGGUUUACCAGCAAAGUUCAACCUGAAUCAAUUUAUCAUUUAAUGGUAGCACGAAGCUCUUACCUUCA